Spinacia oleracea (spinach) is the source of this 197-nucleotide non-coding RNA. The record is from Rfam. Lineage: Eukaryota; Viridiplantae; Streptophyta; Magnoliopsida; Caryophyllales; Amaranthaceae.
AUACCUUUCUCGGCAUUUUGGCUAAGAUCAAGUGUAGUAUCUGUUCUUAUCAGUUUAUUAUCUGAUACGUGGUCCAAUGGCCCACAACGAUAUUAAAUUUAUUUUUUAAGGGGAAAGACCCAUCACAAUAGCUUGCUAUUGGGGUCUUUGCCUGUCGCCCAUGCGUUGCACUGCUGCACGGGCCUAGCGUACCCCAC